GUUACGGCGCGGCUCGUCACAGGGCAACUUUGCUUACCUUAUUCUAAUUGCAAGCUGCCCCCUGAUGGGCAUCGCCGUGAA
Non-coding RNA from Nasonia vitripennis (jewel wasp), 81 nucleotides. Lineage: Eukaryota; Metazoa; Arthropoda; Insecta; Hymenoptera; Pteromalidae. The record is from Rfam.